UACAGAGGUCUCAAGCGUUGUUCGGAUUCAUUGGGCGUAAAGGGUGCGUAGGUGGCGCCGUAAGUCGGGUGUGAAAUCUCGGGGCUUAACUCCGAAACUGCAUUCGAUACUGCGGUGCUUGAGGACUGGAGAGGAGACUGGAAUUUACGGUGUAGCGGUGAAAUGCGUAGAUAUCGUAAGGAAGACCAGUGGCGAAGGCGGGUCUCUGGACAGUUCCUGACGCUGAGGCACGAAGGCCAGGGGAGCAAACGGG
RNAcentral lists this ribosomal RNA (253 nucleotides) under uncultured bacterium. RNAcentral describes it as "partial 16S ribosomal RNA". It matches the Rfam family "Bacterial small subunit ribosomal RNA", at positions 524 to 776 of the family's 1533-position model. The record is from RNAcentral.